This 73-nucleotide transfer RNA is filed under the name Guillardia theta. RNAcentral describes it as "tRNA-Arg". It matches the Rfam family "tRNA". Rfam says of the family: Transfer RNA (tRNA) molecules are approximately 80 nucleotides in length. Their secondary structure includes four short double-helical elements and three loops (D, anti-codon, and T loops). Lineage: Eukaryota; Cryptophyceae; Pyrenomonadales; Geminigeraceae. The record is from RNAcentral. RNAcentral also lists the same sequence under 1 other name.
GAGCGUGUAACUCAGUGGAUAGAGUAUCAGAUUCCGGACCUGAAAGUCGUGGGUUCAAUUCCCACCAUGCUCU